RNAcentral lists this ribosomal RNA (497 nucleotides) under uncultured bacterium. RNAcentral's name for it is "partial 16S ribosomal RNA". It matches the Rfam family "Bacterial small subunit ribosomal RNA", at positions 28 to 508 of the family's 1533-position model. The record is from RNAcentral.
GAUGAACGCUGGCGGCGUGCCUAAUACAUGCAAGUCGAGCGAACAGACGAGGAGCUUGCUCCUCUGACGUUAGCGGCGGACGGGUGAGUAACACGUGGAUAACCUACCUAUAAGACUGGGAUAACUUCGGGAAACCGGAGCUAAUACCGGAUAAUAUAUUGAACCGCAUGGUUCAAUAGUGAAAGACGGUUUUGCUGUCACUUAUAGAUGGAUCCGCGCCGCAUUAGCUAGUUGGUAAGGUAACGGCUUACCAAGGCAACGAUGCGUAGCCGACCUGAGAGGUGGACCGCCACCACUGAAACGACACCCGGUCCAAGCCGCCUAGGGGGGGCGGAAGAAGGAAUUCUUCGGCAAUGGGCAAAGGCCGGGGGGAACAAGGCGGGGGGGUGAAUAAUGGUCUCGGGAGCGAAAAACUUUUUUAUUGGGAAAAAAAAAAUGUUUAAGAACCUAUCCCCUUUUGGACGGUCCCAAACAAAAAAGCCACGCCUAACUCCGGC